RNAcentral lists this ribosomal RNA (432 nucleotides) under uncultured bacterium. RNAcentral describes it as "partial 16S ribosomal RNA". It matches the Rfam family "Bacterial small subunit ribosomal RNA", at positions 29 to 506 of the family's 1533-position model. The record is from RNAcentral.
AACGAACGCUGGCGGCAUGCCUAACACAUGCAAGUCGAACGAGACCUUCGGGUCUAGUGGCGCACGGGUGCGUAACGCGUGGGAACCUGCCCUUAGGUUCGGAAUAACUCCCCGAAAGGGGUGCUAAUACCGGAUAAUGUCUUCGGACCAAAGAUUUAUCGCCUUUGGAUGGGCCCGCGUUGGAUUAGCUAGUUGGUAGGGUAAAAGCCUACCAAGGCGACGAUCCAUAGCUGGUCUGAGAGGAUGAUCAGCCACACUGGGACUGGGACACGGCCCAGACUCCUGCGGGAGGCAGCAGUGGGGAAUAUUGGACAAUGGGCGAAAGCCUGAUCCCGCAGUGCCGCGUGAGUGAUGAAGGCCUUAGGGUUGUAAAGCUCUUUUACCCGGGAUGAUAAGGACAGUACCGGGAGAAUAAGCUCCGGCUAACUCCGU